CAGCCGUAAACUAUGCGCGUUAGGUGUACUGGUGACCACGAGUCACCGGGUGCCGAAGGGAAACCGUGAAACGUGCCGCCUGGGAAGUACGGUCGCAAGGCUGAAACUUAAAGGAAUUGGCGGGGGAGCACCACAACAGGUGGAGCCUGCGGUUUAAUUGGAUUCAACGCCGGACAUCUCACCGGAUAAGACAGCUGAAUGAUUGUCAAUCUGAAGGUUUUACAUGACUAGCUGAGAGGAGGUGCAUGGCGUCAGUGACU
Molecule: ribosomal RNA, 260 nt
Filed under: uncultured archaeon
Lineage: Archaea
Description: partial 16S ribosomal RNA
Rfam family: Archaeal small subunit ribosomal RNA
Source: RNAcentral